GUUAAAUUCUAAGCACAGUUCCACCUUCCGGCUGCUGCCAGGAAUCCCCUCCCCAGACCUCUGGGAGGAACAGGUGGAGGAGAGGGACUGUCCGACCAGCACCUUUCUUGUGGGCCCUUGGGGUGAGAAGUCUCCCGGAGACGGAGACCGGUGCUGUGCCGCGUGCUGGUAGGUCACCACGCAGCGCCAAGUGACGGAGAGGACAGUGCACACCGGAAGCACCGGCGGCUUGCUCUGGGCUCUGGGUGCAUCUGGGCGAAGCUGGCCUGAUGAUCGGGAGCUGAGGCGCUGUCCCCUCCCUGUCAGUCGGCGUCAGGGACUCCUCCCUCCCUCCCCUCAACCCCGAAGCUGGUGCAGCCCGGCUCCUGCUGCCUAGGAGGGGGCCCUGGGCUCCCAGCGCCCUCUUCCUGCAACUGCGUCCUCUCUCCUCUCCCGGGCCCCUGCUCCUUCCCCGGGCUGGACUUGUGCCAUGGAUCUGUGGCCCUGCGAUGGCCUGGAGCCCUGGGUGCGGAUGAGGUGUGGCCCUCGGGACACCUAGUGGACCCUCUGUGUCGCCUGAGCCCGGCCCUAGCUGAAAACAGGUACACAUCUAUGGAGAGAACAGUACAUAUAGGGCUGGCUGCUAUCUGUGGCUUCAGAUAUCCACUGGGGUCUUGGAACAUAAUGAGAAAUGUAAUUUAUUCAAAUACGGUCAUGUCAUCUUCUUCUGGACCUUCGUCCUAACUCUCCGAACCCCGAAUUCCAGCCUCAGUCUUGCAACUCCAUUUCCUGUAGAACCAUCGGCCCAGUCCCUCAUGUCCAGCAGUAGAGCUCUCCUUAAAUGAGCGCUUCUCGUCCAUGUAGCCUGCUGGUAGCACAUUGGCAACAGAGCUGUCGGUGAUUUUAUCCCAUGAAUUCUUCACCCAAGUCACGACCUACCUCCUACAGGCUGGCUUCACAAAGCUUCCAUUAAAUCAAGUGUUAAUCGAAGACUCACGACACAGGAGUGGUGACAAAAAUGAUGACAGUUAAGAAUGAAGGUCCACAUGAAAGUGAUGAAAAAUUGCAGGC
This 1050-nucleotide long non-coding RNA is filed under the name Heterocephalus glaber (naked mole-rat). Its description in RNAcentral is "lncRNA (ENSHGLG00000038652.1)". The record is from RNAcentral. Lineage: Eukaryota; Metazoa; Chordata; Mammalia; Rodentia; Bathyergidae.